CCUACGGGAGGCAGCAGUGGGGAAUUUUGGACAAUGGGGGCAACCCUGAUCCAGCAAUGCCGCGUGUGUGAAGAAGGCCUUCGGGUUGUAAAGCACUUUUGUCCGGAAAGAAAUGGCGCUGGUUAAUACCCGGCGUUGAUGACGGUACCGGAAGAAUAAGCACCGGCUAACUACGUGCCAGCAGCCGCGGUAAUACGUAGGGUGCGAGCGUUAAUCGGAAUUACUGGGCGUAAAGCGUGCGCAGGCGGUUUGGUAAGACAGGCGUGAAAUCCCCGAGCUCAACUUGGGAAUGGCGCUUGUGACUGCCAGGCUAGAGUAUGUCAGAGGGGGGUAGAAUUCCACGUGUAGCAGUGAAAUGCGUAGAGAUGUGGAGGAAUACCGAUGGCGAAGGCAGCCCCCUGGGACGUCACUGACGCUCAUGCACGAAAGCGUGGGGAGCAAACAGGAUUAGAUACCCUGGUAGUCCACGCCCUAAACGAUGUCAACUAGUUGUUGGGGAUUCAUUUCUUCAGUAACGUAGCUAACGCGUGAAGUUGACCGCCUGGGGAGUACGGUCGCAAGAUUAAAACUCAAAAGAGUAGUAGGCGNGNGAGAGACGACGACGACGACGAGGAGGAGGAGG
Molecule: ribosomal RNA, 622 nt
Filed under: uncultured bacterium
Lineage: Bacteria
Description: bacterial SSU rRNA
Rfam family: Bacterial small subunit ribosomal RNA
Source: RNAcentral